UAAAACUGACAUUUUGGUUUCCAUUUCAUCCUGUGGCAUGAAAUGCACAGCGUGUGAAAAGCAGAGCAUAAUGUGGCAGGGUUGGGGUGGGGGAGAUGAAAUCAAACAGAAGUAACUUUAGAGGAAAAUCUGUCACUCAGGUUGGAUUUUCUCUUAUGAUUCACGCUAUCUACUCAUUUGAACAGCAUGGCACUAGGUUGACCUGAGCAGGGAGGAGAGUCACAAGUUACAUCUGGCUUCAGGAUCUCAAAUUUGGUUUAUUGUCUGGUGCAGCAAACCUGAAAUUAAAUGAGCACAUGCAGGAGACUCAUCUUUGUGCAGUCUGUGGAGUCUUGUUGGAGACAAACAGAGCUAUUACCAAGUCCUCCAGUGUCAGAUUCCAAAAUGGACAGACAGGAUCUUCUCCAGGACAGCACUCUGAAGCUGGAGCUUCUUCUUCCACUUGCAUUAGAAAUCUGGUUGCAAAGAAUGUACUGGUGGAGAAUAAAACACUGCUGUCAAUUAGAUGUUCACAAUUCUGCUUUAACCUUGCAACUCCCAAUGCCAAGAUACACUAAAAAUGUUUUCCAUUCUUCUGGGCGCUUCAUUUCUUGUAAUCAGCACAUGACUCUCAUCUAUCAAGGCCCGUAUGAACCACGCUACCAAUGCAUGCUAAAAUUUCAUUCAAGCUGCAAAACUUUGAUGCUCAUGAAAUAAAAAUAAUGAAUAAGAUCCA
Molecule: long non-coding RNA, 715 nt
Organism: Mastomys coucha (southern multimammate mouse)
Lineage: Eukaryota; Metazoa; Chordata; Mammalia; Rodentia; Muridae
Exons: 2
Source: RefSeq, a predicted model, not a curated record